RNAcentral lists this ribosomal RNA (465 nucleotides) under uncultured bacterium. RNAcentral's name for it is "partial 16S ribosomal RNA". It matches the Rfam family "Bacterial small subunit ribosomal RNA", at positions 28 to 507 of the family's 1533-position model. The record is from RNAcentral.
GACGAACGCUGGCGGCGUGCUUAACACAUGCAAGUCGUACGGUAAGGCCCUUUCGGGGGUACACGAGUGGCGAACGGGGGAGUAACACGUGAGUAACCUGCCCACAACUUUGGGAUAACGCUAGGAAACUGGGGCUAAUACUGGAUAUGUGCUCCUGCGGCAGGGUGGGGGUGGGAAAGCUCCGGCGGUUGUGGAUGGACUCGCGGCCUAUCAGCUUGUUGGUGGGGUAGUGGCCUACCAAGGCGGCGACGGGUAGCCGGCCUGAGAGGGUGACCGGCCACAUUGGGACUGAGAUACGGCCCAGACUCCUACGGGAGGCAGCAGUGGGGAAUAUUGCACAAUGGGCGCAAGCCUGAUGCAGCAACGCCGCGUGCGGGAUGACGGCCUUCGGGUUGUAAACCGCUUUCAGCAGGGACGAAGCUUUUUGUGACGGUACCUGCAGAAGAAGCACCGGCUAACUACGUG